RNAcentral lists this ribosomal RNA (2902 nucleotides) under Escherichia coli HVH 28 (4-0907367). RNAcentral's name for it is "bacterial LSU rRNA". It matches the Rfam family "Bacterial large subunit ribosomal RNA". The record is from RNAcentral. Lineage: Bacteria; Pseudomonadati; Pseudomonadota; Gammaproteobacteria; Enterobacterales; Enterobacteriaceae.
UUAAGCGACUAAGCGUACACGGUGGAUGCCCUGGCAGUCAGAGGCGAUGAAGGACGUGCUAAUCUGCGAUAAGCGUCGGUAAGGUGAUAUGAACCGUUAUAACCGGCGAUUUCCGAAUGGGGAAACCCAGUGUGAUUCGUCACACUAUCAUUAACUGAAUCCAUAGGUUAAUGAGGCGAACCGGGGGAACUGAAACAUCUAAGUACCCCGAGGAAAAGAAAUCAACCGAGAUUCCCCCAGUAGCGGCGAGCGAACGGGGAGGAGCCCAGAGCCUGAAUCAGUGUGUGUGUUAGUGGAAGCGUCUGGAAAGGCGCGCGAUACAGGGUGACAGCCCCGUACACAAAAAUGCACAUGCUGUGAGCUCGAUGAGUAGGGCGGGACACGUGGUAUCCUGUCUGAAUAUGGGGGGACCAUCCUCCAAGGCUAAAUACUCCUGACUGACCGAUAGUGAACCAGUACCGUGAGGGAAAGGCGAAAAGAACCCCGGCGAGGGGAGUGAAAAAGAACCUGAAACCGUGUACGUACAAGCAGUGGGAGCCUCUUAAUGGGGUGACUGCGUACCUUUUGUAUAAUGGGUCAGCGACUUAUAUUCUGUAGCAAGGUUAACCGAAUAGGGGAGCCGAAGGGAAACCGAGUCUUAACUGGGCGUUAAGUUGCAGGGUAUAGACCCGAAACCCGGUGAUCUAGCCAUGGGCAGGUUGAAGGUUGGGUAACACUAACUGGAGGACCGAACCGACUAAUGUUGAAAAAUUAGCGGAUGACUUGUGGCUGGGGGUGAAAGGCCAAUCAAACCGGGAGAUAGCUGGUUCUCCCCGAAAGCUAUUUAGGUAGCGCCUCGUGAAUUCAUCUCCGGGGGUAGAGCACUGUUUCGGCAAGGGGGUCAUCCCGACUUACCAACCCGAUGCAAACUGCGAAUACCGGAGAAUGUUAUCACGGGAGACACACGGCGGGUGCUAACGUCCGUCGUGAAGAGGGAAACAACCCAGACCGCCAGCUAAGGUCCCAAAGUCAUGGUUAAGUGGGAAACGAUGUGGGAAGGCCCAGACAGCCAGGAUGUUGGCUUAGAAGCAGCCAUCAUUUAAAGAAAGCGUAAUAGCUCACUGGUCGAGUCGGCCUGCGCGGAAGAUGUAACGGGGCUAAACCAUGCACCGAAGCUGCGGCAGCGACACUAUGUGUUGUUGGGUAGGGGAGCGUUCUGUAAGCCUGUGAAGGUGGCCUGUGAGGGUUGCUGGAGGUAUCAGAAGUGCGAAUGCUGACAUAAGUAACGAUAAAGCGGGUGAAAAGCCCGCUCGCCGGAAGACCAAGGGUUCCUGUCCAACGUUAAUCGGGGCAGGGUGAGUCGACCCCUAAGGCGAGGCCGAAAGGCGUAGUCGAUGGGAAACAGGUUAAUAUUCCUGUACUUGGUGUUACUGCGAAGGGGGGACGGAGAAGGCUAUGUUGGCCGGGCGACGGUUGUCCCGGUUUAAGCGUGUAGGCUGGUUUUCCAGGCAAAUCCGGAAAACCAAGGCUGAGGCGUGAUGACGAGGCACUACGGUGCUGAAGUGACAAAUGCCCUGCUUCCAGGAAAAGCCUCUAAGCAUCAGGUAACAUCAAAUCGUACCCCAAACCGACACAGGUGGUCAGGUAGAGAAUACCAAGGCGCUUGAGAGAACUCGGGUGAAGGAACUAGGCAAAAUGGUGCCGUAACUUCGGGAGAAGGCACGCUGAUAUGUAGGUGAAGCGACUUGCUCGUGGAGCUGAAAUCAGUCGAAGAUACCAGCUGGCUGCAACUGUUUAUUAAAAACACAGCACUGUGCAAACACGAAAGUGGACGUAUACGGUGUGACGCCUGCCCGGUGCCGGAAGGUUAAUUGAUGGGGUUAGCGGUAACGCGAAGCUCUUGAUCGAAGCCCCGGUAAACGGCGGCCGUAACUAUAACGGUCCUAAGGUAGCGAAAUUCCUUGUCGGGUAAGUUCCGACCUGCACGAAUGGCGUAAUGAUGGCCAGGCUGUCUCCACCCGAGACUCAGUGAAAUUGAACUCGCUGUGAAGAUGCAGUGUACCCGCGGCAAGACGGAAAGACCCCGUGAACCUUUACUAUAGCUUGACACUGAACAUUGAGCCUUGAUGUGUAGGAUAGGUGGGAGGCUUUGAAGUGUGGACGCCAGUCUGCAUGGAGCCGACCUUGAAAUACCACCCUUUAAUGUUUGAUGUUCUAACGUUGGCCCCUAAUCGGGGUUGCGGACAGUGUCUGGUGGGUAGUUUGACUGGGGCGGUCUCCUCCUAAAGAGUAACGGAGGAGCACGAAGGUUGGCUAAUCCUGGUCGGACAUCAGGAGGUUAGUGCAAUGGCAUAAGCCAGCUUGACUGCGAGCGUGACGGCGCGAGCAGGUGCGAAAGCAGGUCAUAGUGAUCCGGUGGUUCUGAAUGGAAGGGCCAUCGCUCAACGGAUAAAAGGUACUCCGGGGAUAACAGGCUGAUACCGCCCAAGAGUUCAUAUCGACGGCGGUGUUUGGCACCUCGAUGUCGGCUCAUCACAUCCUGGGGCUGAAGUAGGUCCCAAGGGUAUGGCUGUUCGCCAUUUAAAGUGGUACGCGAGCUGGGUUUAGAACGUCGUGAGACAGUUCGGUCCCUAUCUGCCGUGGGCGCUGGAGAACUGAGGGGGGCUGCUCCUAGUACGAGAGGACCGGAGUGGACGUAUCACUGGUGUUCGGGUUGUCAUGCCAAUGGCACUGCCCGGUAGCUAAAUGCGGAAGAGAUAAGUGCUGAAAGCAUCUAAGCACGAAACUUGCCCCGAGAUGAGUUCUCCCUGACUCCUUGAGAGUCCUGAAGGAACGUUGAAGACGACGACGUUGAUAGGCCGGGUGUGUAAGCGCAGCGAUGCGUUGAGCUAACCGGUACUAAUGAACCGUGAGGCUUAACCUU